Camellia sinensis is the source of this 2143-nucleotide non-coding RNA. NCBI's taxonomy places the organism in Eukaryota, Viridiplantae, Streptophyta, Magnoliopsida, Ericales, Theaceae. The record is from RefSeq and is a predicted model, not a curated record.
GAAUAAUGUAUUUAUUUUCCCAAUCAUUGAUUAUUAUUUUUUUCUUUUUCCUUCCUUUUUUCUGAAGUCAAUUCUUGUUGUUAACUUUUGUCAUCAGUAUUAUUUUCUCACUAGAUGUCACCAUUUAGUCUUAGGUCUUCAAAAGUGAAAAUAAAUAUUAAAAUAUAGAAGACAGAAGGGUGAAAUUAAUGUAAUUACAUAUGGCUCUGACUCUUGGAAUUUUUUUCCCCCCUGAAAUUUUAAAUAAAAAGUGAACCAAUGUUGUCAUCUGCCUUGAAUCCAAUGCCUUAAUGCAGUUCAACUUUCGUCCCACUUUUCCUGGGGCACAGUCCUACAUUUCUGAUACAUUGAUCGAUAAUGUUUUGGCUGUGUUUGAUAUCUGGAUUAGGUUCACUAUGAUUAUGAAUUCGGUGGGAUUGAGUGAUGGGAUUACUAAUAUGGUGGUAUUAGGUUGGAAAUGUGAGAUUAAUUGCAUUUGUUUGUUUACUGCAAUUGAGCUGUAUAUUGAAGAUAUCCCUAGUUUGCUCACUGCUUAGAUGAGAAAGCUAACCAAAUACUUUUCCCUCGACUUUUCAUUUCUUCCCUCGUCAAGACAGUCCCUUCUAUUAACUAUCAUCUGCUUAUCGGAUUUGGCUUGCAUCUUUGGUUUCAAUGUUUCCUCUGACGGGUUAGUGAGAAUUGGUCUAAAGAGACGGGAUUUGGACCUUAACAGUAUAUAUGGCGUAGCAAUUAUCAGAGGAGAGGUUAUCCAUGCCAAUGGUAAGGGCAACGAUUCCAAUAGUAAUUGUGUUGACAAUUUAAAAGAUGAUGUGGUGUAUUUGAAAAAUUUUAUGGACACCCAAUAUUACGGAGAGAUUGGCAUUGGUUCACCUCCACAACACUUUGCUGUUGUCUUUGAUACCGGCAGUUCCAAUCUUUGGGUGCCAUCUUCGAAAUGCCACUUUUCUAUUGCUUGCUAUAUGCAUUCUAAGUACAGGGCAAAGCUAUCCAGUACAUAUACUGAAAUUGGAACAUCUUGCAAAAUCCAUUAUGGUUCUGGAUCUAUAUUUGGCUUCUUCAGCCAAGAUAAUGUGAGAGUUGGAGAUGUUAUCAUCAAAGAUCAAGUGUUCACCGAGGCUACAAAGGAAGGAUUAUUUAUGUUCUUGCUUGCACAAUUUGAUGGGAUUAUUGGACUUGGGUUUCAGGACAUUGCAGUUGGGCAAGUCUCACCAGUGUGGUACAACAUGGUUAAACAAGGUCUUGUGAGCCGACAAGUCUUCUCUUUAUGGCUGAAUCGAGAUCCUAAAUCAAAGAUAGGAGGUGAGAUUGUCUUUGGUGGUGUUGAUUGGAGGCACUUCAGGGGUGACCACACUUUUGCCCCAAUCGCACAAAAUGGUUACUGGCAGAUUGAGGUAGGUGAUAUUAUUAUUGCAAGCAAUUCAACAGGAACAGGUGUCAGAGAACAAAUUUCCUUUCAAUGCAGAAAAUUACAAAUGAGAGAGAGAGAGAGAGAGAGGGUCAUACAUGUCUGAGCCCGCACUUUUUGUGAUCUGUUCAUCUUCUCUCUAUUUGUCCUAAAAAGUCUCAGAUCACUCGAUUUUCCUCUGAAAUUUACACAGACCCACAUACAUAUACCUCCAGAUUUUGUAGCCUGAGGUUUAUGGUAAUUUUGAGCUCUAUUCCAGCCAUCAAAGACGCGUUUUUUUGAAGUCAUUUCCGAAACAUACUUUGAACAUAGGAUCAGUGGGUCUGGUUUGGCUGACUGACUCUGGACCAAAAUGAACUUGUUGACAGAUUGUGAGAGUAUGGCCUCAAUUGGUAUUUGAUAUGAAGACCAUCACCAUCUAUUUUUAUGUCUUCUCUUAUUAUAUGAUGUGUUAAUGCUGUAAUAGUGCUACAUUUUGUUUCUACCUUAAACUCAGGUUUUUUGACAGGAGCACAUCUUGGAAAUUUGGGUAGUUGGUUUAGAAAACGGUCUAAUAUUGUGAUGUCAGGUUAUGUUGUUAAUAGAUAUACUCAAUUUUGUACUUUAGAAUGAUAUAAUUCCAUUUUAAUCUUUGACUGCAUUGUUCAAAGGUAUAUCAGUAAUUUCAUAUCUUGUAUAUGGAAGUUAAAUUCUAUUCCACCUGUUUCCUCGUUGUUUCCUCGUGCAACUUCUGUAUCU